RNAcentral lists this microRNA precursor (203 nucleotides) under Oryza sativa Indica Group (long-grained rice). Its description in RNAcentral is "MIR812 microRNA precursor family". It matches the Rfam family "MIR812 microRNA precursor family". The record is from Rfam by way of RNAcentral. Lineage: Eukaryota; Viridiplantae; Streptophyta; Magnoliopsida; Poales; Poaceae.
UAUAAGUGUAGCCAUGGUUUUCCGCGUCCAAUUUUGACCGUCCGUCUUAUUUGAAAAAUUUUAAAAAAAAUUUAAAAACAUAAGUCACGAGUAAAAUACUAUUCAUGUUUUAUCAUCUCAUAACAAUAAAAAUACUAAUUAUAAAAAAUUUAAAUAAGACGAACGAUUAAAGUUGGGCGCGGAAACUUAUAGUUGCACUUGUA